This 253-nucleotide ribosomal RNA is filed under the name uncultured bacterium. RNAcentral describes it as "partial 16S ribosomal RNA". It matches the Rfam family "Bacterial small subunit ribosomal RNA", at positions 524 to 776 of the family's 1533-position model. The record is from RNAcentral.
GACGAACCGAGCGAACGUUGUUCGGAAUCACUGGGCUUAAAGGGCGCGUAGGCGGGCUGUCAAGUCUGGGGUGAAAUCCCGCGGCUCAACCGCGGAACUGCCUCGGAUACUGACGGCCUCGAGGGGGGUAGGGGCGAGCGGAACUGAUGGUGGAGCGGUGAAAUGCGUUGAUAUCAUCAGGAACUCCGGUGGCGAAGGCGGCUCGCUGGACCCCGUCUGACGCUGAGGCGCGAAAGCCAGGGGAGCAAACGGG